UACGUAGGGUGCGAGCGUUAAUCGGAAUUACUGGGCGUAAAGCGUGCGCAGGCGGCUUUGCAAGACAGAUGUGAAAUCCCCGGGCUUAACCUGGGAACUGCAUUUGUGACUGCAAGGCUAGAGUGCGGCAGAGGGGGAUGGAAUUCCGCGUGUAGCAGUGAAAUGCGUAGAUAUGCGGAGGAACACCGAUGGCGAAGGCAAUCCCCUGGGCCUGCACUGACGCUCAUGCACGAAAGCGUGGGGAGCAAACAGG
RNAcentral lists this ribosomal RNA (253 nucleotides) under uncultured bacterium. RNAcentral describes it as "partial 16S ribosomal RNA". It matches the Rfam family "Bacterial small subunit ribosomal RNA", at positions 524 to 776 of the family's 1533-position model. The record is from RNAcentral.